AGUGGGGAAUAUUGCACAAUGGGCGGAAGCCUGAUGCAGCGACGCCGCGUGAGGGAUGACGGCCUUCGGGUUGUAAACCUCUUUCAGCAGGGAAGAAGCGCAAGUGACGGUACCUGCAGAAGAAGCACCGGCUAACUACGUGCCAGCAGCCGCGGUAAUACGUAGGGUGCGAGCGUUGUCCGGAAUUAUUGGGCGUAAAGAGCUUGUAGGUGGUUUGUCGCGUCUGCUGUGAAAAUCCGGGGCUCAACCCCGGACUUGCAGUGGGUACGGGCAGACUGGAGUGUGGUAGGGGAGACUGGAAUUCCUGGUGUAGCGGUGGAAUGCGCAGAUAUCAGGAGGAACACCGAUGGCGAAGGCAGGUCUCUGGGCCAUUACUGACACUGAGAAGCGAAAGCAUGGGGAGCGAA
Molecule: ribosomal RNA, 407 nt
Filed under: uncultured Terrabacter sp.
Lineage: Bacteria; Bacillati; Actinomycetota; Actinomycetes; Micrococcales; Intrasporangiaceae
Description: bacterial SSU rRNA
Rfam family: Bacterial small subunit ribosomal RNA
Source: RNAcentral